This 560-nucleotide ribosomal RNA is filed under the name Yamadazyma sp. CLIB 1610. Its description in RNAcentral is "partial 26S ribosomal RNA". Lineage: Eukaryota; Fungi; Ascomycota; Pichiomycetes; Serinales; Debaryomycetaceae. The record is from RNAcentral.
CGGCUUAAGAUCAUUAUGCCAGCAUCCUAGUCAAAGACGCAGUCCUCAGUCUAGACAGGCAGUAUCGACGCAGGCUAUAAUACACCCCCGAAGCGGUGCUACUUUCCUACGCAAUUAUCCUGCCGUCCAAACUGAUGCUGGCCCGGAAAGCUCCAUUACUGGAAAAUUCCAAGUCUGAUCUCAAGCCCUUCCCUUUCAACAAUUUCACGUACUUUUUCACUCUCUUUUCAAAGUUCUUUUCAUCUUUCCUUCACAGUACUUGUUCGCUAUCGGUCUCUCGCCAAUAUUUAGCUUUAGAUGGAAUUUACCACCCACUUAGAGCUGCAUUCCCAAACAACUCGACUCGUCGAAGGAACUUUACAUGGAAUUGGGCAUCUCAUCGCACGGGAUUCUCACCCUCUGUGACGUCCUGUUCCAAGGAACAUAGACAAGAGCCAAAACCAAAGAUACCUUCUUCAAAUUACAACUCGGACACCGAAGGCGCCAGAUUUCAAAUUUGAGCUAUUGCCGCUUCACUCGCCGCUACUAAGGCAAUCCCUGUUGGUUUCUUUUCCUCCGCU